GAUGAACGCUAGCGGGAGGCUUAACACAUGCAAGUCGAGCGGGAUUGGUAGCAAUACCAUGAGAGCGGCGCACGGGUGCGUAACGCGUAUGCAACCUGCCUUAUACAAAGGGAUAGCCCAUGGAAACGUGGAUUAAUAUCUUAUAGAACUGGUUUUUCGCAUGGAAGAUUAGUUAAAACUUUGGUGGUAUAAGAUGGGCAUGCGUCUGAUUAGCUAGUUGGUGAGGUAACGGCUCACCAAGGCGACGAUCAGUAGGGGUUCUGAGAGGAUUACCCCCCACACUGGUACUGAGACACGGACCAGACUCCUACGGGAGGCUG
This 320-nucleotide ribosomal RNA is filed under the name uncultured Bacteroidota bacterium. RNAcentral describes it as "bacterial SSU rRNA". It matches the Rfam family "Bacterial small subunit ribosomal RNA", at positions 28 to 351 of the family's 1533-position model. Lineage: Bacteria; Pseudomonadati; Bacteroidota. The record is from RNAcentral.